UACGGAGGGUGCAAGCGUUAUCCGGAUUCACUGGGUUUAAAGGGUGCGUAGGUGGGCAGGUAAGUCAGUGGUGAAAUCUCCGGGCUUAACCCGGAAACUGCCAUUGAUACUAUUUGUCUUGAAUACUGUGGAGGUUAGCGGAAUAUGUCAUGUAGCGGUGAAAUGCUUAGAUAUGACAUAGAACACCAAUUGCGAAGGCAGCUGGCUACACAAAUAUUGACACUGAGGCACGAAAGCGUGGGGAUCAAACAGG
This 253-nucleotide ribosomal RNA is filed under the name uncultured bacterium. RNAcentral describes it as "partial 16S ribosomal RNA". It matches the Rfam family "Bacterial small subunit ribosomal RNA", at positions 524 to 776 of the family's 1533-position model. The record is from RNAcentral.